This 231-nucleotide ribosomal RNA is filed under the name uncultured Strombidinopsis. RNAcentral's name for it is "partial Eukaryotic large subunit ribosomal RNA". It matches the Rfam family "Eukaryotic large subunit ribosomal RNA", at positions 2414 to 2648 of the family's 3401-position model. The record is from RNAcentral. Lineage: Eukaryota; Ciliophora; Spirotrichea; Choreotrichida.
UGUUGAGCUUGACUCUAGUCCGACAUUGUGAAAUGACUUAAGAGGUGUAGAAUAAGUGGGAGCGCAAGCGCCGGUGAAAUACCACUACUUUUAAUGUUAUUUUACUUAUUCCGUUGAGUAGAGCUGGGGCCCCAAGCCCCACUUUCUGGAUUUAAGUUACCUUCGGGGGCGAUCUAGGCGGAAGACAUUGUCAGGUGGGGAGUUUGGCUGGGGGGGCACAUCUGUUAAACG